UACAGAGGUGGCAAGCGUUGUUCGGAAUUACUGGGCGUAAAGGGCGCGUAGGCGGCUUGGUCAGUCCCGUGUGAAAUCCCUCGGCUCAACUGAGGAACUGCACGGGAAACUGCCUGGCUUGAGUUCGGGAGAGGGAAGCGGAAUUCCGGGUGUAGCGGUGAAAUGCGUAGAUAUCGGAGGAACACCGGUGGCGAAGGCGGCUUCCUGGACCGACACUGACGCUGAGGCGCGAAAGCUAGGGGAGCAAACGGG
This 252-nucleotide ribosomal RNA is filed under the name uncultured bacterium. Its description in RNAcentral is "partial 16S ribosomal RNA". It matches the Rfam family "Bacterial small subunit ribosomal RNA", at positions 524 to 776 of the family's 1533-position model. The record is from RNAcentral.